Molecule: ribosomal RNA, 200 nt
Filed under: uncultured bacterium
Lineage: Bacteria
Description: partial 16S ribosomal RNA
Rfam family: Bacterial small subunit ribosomal RNA
Source: RNAcentral
AGAGUUUGAUCAUGGCUCAGGAUAAACGCUGGCGGCGUGCCUAACACAUGCAAGUCGAACGCGCUUAGCAAUAAGCGAGUGGCGGACGGGUGAGGAACACGUGGGUUAUCUACCUUGAGGUGAGGAAUACCGGCGAGAAAUCGCCGACAAUACCGCAUACGUUUGGAAACAAACAAAGUCAAGCAAUUGACGCCUGAAGA